ACUCCUACGGGAGGCAGCAGUGGGAAUAUUGCACAAUGGGAAGCCAUCGAUGCAGCCAUGCCGCGUGUGUGAAGAAGGCCAAUUCGGGCUUUGGUUAAAGACACUUUCAGUUGUGAGGAAAGGUUGGUAGUUAAUACCUGCCAGCUGUGACGUUAACAACAGAAGAAGCACCGGCUAACUCCGUGCCAGCAGCCGCGGUAAUACGGAGGGUGCGAGCGUUAAUCGGAAUUACUGGGCGUAAAGCGCACGCAGGCGGCUUGUUAAGCUAGAGGUGAAAGCCCNCCGCUCAACGUGGGAACUGCCUUUAGAACUGGCAGGCUAGAGUCUUGGAGAGGGAGUGGAAUUCCAGGUGUAGCGGUGAAAUGCGUAGAUAUCUGGAGGAACAUCAGUGGCGAAGGCGGCUCCCUGGCCAAAGACUGACGCUCAUGUGCGAAAGUGUGGGUAGCGAACAGGAUUAGAUACCCU
This 465-nucleotide ribosomal RNA is filed under the name uncultured bacterium. RNAcentral's name for it is "bacterial SSU rRNA". It matches the Rfam family "Bacterial small subunit ribosomal RNA", at positions 335 to 788 of the family's 1533-position model. The record is from RNAcentral.